This 484-nucleotide ribosomal RNA is filed under the name uncultured bacterium. RNAcentral's name for it is "partial 16S ribosomal RNA". It matches the Rfam family "Bacterial small subunit ribosomal RNA", at positions 28 to 507 of the family's 1533-position model. The record is from RNAcentral.
AUUGAACGCUGGCGGCAUGCUUUACACAUGCCAGUCGAACGGCAGCGCGGGCUUCGGCCUGGCGGCGAGUGGCGAACGGGUGAGUAAUGCAUCGGAACGUGCCCAGUAGUGGGGGAUAGCCCGGCGAAAGCCGGAUUAAUACCGCAUACGGCCUGAGGGUGAAAGCGGGGGACCGAAAGGCCUCGCGCUAUUGGAGCGGCCGAUGUCGGAUUAGCUAGUUGGUGGGGUAAAGGCUUACCAAGGCGACGAUCCGUAGCUGGUCUGAGAGGACGACCAGCCACACUGGGACUGAGACACGGCCCAGACUCCUACGGGAGGCAGCAGUGGGGAAUUUUGGACAAUGGGGGCAACCCUGAUCCAGCCAUGCCGCGUGCGGGAAGAAGGCCUUCGGGUUGUAAACCGCUUUUGUUCGGGAAGAAAUCCUCUGGGCUAAUACCCCGGGGGGAUGACGGUACCGGAAGAAUAAGCACCGGCUAACUACGUG